RNAcentral lists this ribosomal RNA (433 nucleotides) under uncultured bacterium. RNAcentral's name for it is "partial 16S ribosomal RNA". It matches the Rfam family "Bacterial small subunit ribosomal RNA", at positions 29 to 507 of the family's 1533-position model. The record is from RNAcentral.
AACGAACGCUGGCGGCAUGCCUAACACAUGCAAGUCGAACGAGACCUUCGGGUCUAGUGGCGCACGGGUGCGUAACGCGUGGGAACCUGCCCUUAGGUUCGGAAUAACUCCCCGAAAGGGGUGCUAAUACCGGAUAAUGUCUUCGGACCAAAGAUUUAUCGCCUUUGGAUGGGCCCGCGUUGGAUUAGCUAGUUGGUAGGGUAAAAGCCUACCAAGGCGACGAUCCAUAGCUGGUCUGAGAGGAUGAUCAGCCACACUGGGACUGAGACACGGCCCAGACUCGUACGGGAGGCAGCAGUGGGGAAUAUUGGAAAAGGGGCGAAAGCAUGAUACAGCAAUGCCGGGUGAGUGAUGAAGGCGUUAGGGUUGUAAAGCUCUGUUACACGGGAUGAUAAUGACAGUACCGGGAGAAUAAGCUCCGGCUAACUCCGUG